This 6300-nucleotide unclassified non-coding RNA is filed under the name Gigantopelta aegis. RNAcentral describes it as "dihydropteridine reductase-like, transcript variant X1". Lineage: Eukaryota; Metazoa; Mollusca; Gastropoda; Neomphalida; Peltospiridae. The record is from RNAcentral.
UCUAUUUUUUUUUAGAAACAAGUGCUGGUAGAGUAGCGUGUGUUUGCAACACUAAAAGCAUUAUAAAACGAUGGCAACACAAGGUCGAAUUUUGAUUUAUGGUGGAAAAGGUGCACUAGGAUCGACAUGCGUCAAAUAUUUCAAGACGCACAACUUUUGGGUUGGCUCUAUAGAUCUUGCACCAAAUGAGGAUGCUGACGCAAACAUCGUUGUGAAACCUGCCGACACGUGGGCUGCCCAGGAGGAGGAAGUCAACAAGUGUGUGGAGAGCGUGUUGGGAGAACACAAGAUCGAUGCUAUUUUCUGUGUGGCCGGGGGGUGGGCUGGUGGCAAUGCUUCCUCCAAAGAUUUAAUCAAGAAUUCAGAUAUGAUGUGGAAGCAAAGUGUGUGGACAUCUGUCAUAUCUGCUGGAUUGGCUGCCAGACACCUCAAGGAGGGAGGAGUGCUCUCCCUUCCUGGAGCUGCCCCUGCUCUUAGUGGAACUCCUGGUAUGAUUGCCUAUGGUUUGGCCAAGGCUGCUGUCCAUCAGUUGGUGCAGAGUCUGGCUGGGAAGAACAGUGGUCUACCUCAGAACUGCUUUGUAGCCGCCACAUUGCCUGUCACACUGGACACACCAAUGAAUCGCAAGUUCAUGGGUGAUGCAGACUUUUCUACUUGGACACCUCUUGAUUAUGUUGCCGAGUUGUUCCACAAAUGGCUAAAGGGUGAACGUCCUGCAAAUGGAAGUCUUGUCAAGAUUGUCACCAAAGACAAUAAAACUGAAACAGUUAAUCUUUAAAAACAUUAACUUAGUAGCAUGUUACAAUUUGCUGACAUAGCAAUUGUUUGUCUACCAGUCUAGGAUACACCAGGUUAGUUCAUACAUCAGAAUACGACGUGUUGUGCAGUUUAGGACAGGUUAGCUCAAGUGAGACUCAGAUGACCUAUGUCAUUAGUUUUGUCAGUCAUCUUUAUUCUAGUCAUAGUUUAGAAUUUCUUUCUGAAACUACUAAACAUUAUUUUAAGUGAUACUUCUAAGGAAAUAUCAUUGGCAGAUUUUGCUUAAUUAAAUACAUAUUAUUAACCACCAUUGGCAGGUUUUGCUUAAUUAAUUAAAUGUUAUUAACCUAAAUGAUCACCAAAACAUCCUUUGUGGAACAUAACCCUAUAUAUGUAUUUAAAAAAAAAAAAAAAAUAUUUGCAGGGAUUAAAUCAUUAUGUAAUUUAAGCUGAUGAUCAGGAACCAAUUUCACAAGAUGUUGUAUGUCUAGUGUUGAAAUUACACAAAAGCAAUUGUUAUAACUAAAAACUAUACAACUAAUAUACCCAGUAGUGUUAAAUUUACAGAAAUAAUUUUCUUUCGUCUUUGCUGUAAUUUUAUCUGUGAAAUAUAUACCAAUGGAAUAAAAACAUACAACUGCUAAGUGUUAAACGUAAACGUGUGAUCUUUUGUGAAAUUGGCCCCAGCACCACAUUACUAUACAGGACAUUCCCGGUACUACAGCUCAGUACUGUUUUUGUUUCAAAGUUAAAUCGGUUAACAGUUUUUCAAAAGGUCAUUGGGGUUGAUUUACAAUUUUACAGUUUACGAUUUUAAUUGAAAAACACAUGUUUUUGGUCUCCACUGGAAUGAACAUUGUUCUCAAUAUAAAUGUAAAAAUAUUAGCUGUGUUAGAAAUGGCAUUGAGCAUUUGUGUAGAUAAUUGUUAAUGAUUCCAUUAUCCGUUAAAUAGGUUAUUGUGACAUUAGCUGUAAGGUGUAGGCAGUGAUGGUUCAAGUAUUGUAAUAAUAUUACUGAUAAUACAUAUUACAUAUUAUAACUAGCAUUCAUAUCUGUCACUAUCUUUGUCCAGCACUCUUAAUCCUAAAAUAAUAAAACCAGUAUCUUAAUGUUUUAUUUGCAGUUUCACUUUUAUGAAUUUGUUUUUUCACUACUCUACUUAUUUUGAAAAAUCUUAAAGUAAUACAUGUAUUUGGCUGUUUUGUUUAAAAGCUUGUUAUUUCAACCCUGGCAAUUAACCCUGGCAAUCGGCAAUGCAAUGGAGAACUCAUUGGUGUUUUCAAAUGUUUUUAAGCAUUUAUUUUUCUGUGGAACAUUCUGUUUUUUGUCACUUUUCUUAAUUAUUGUUUGGUAAAAUUAAUACUGACAAAUUAAAAUCCUUCCACAUUAAUCACAAAAAAAUGCUGUGGAGACUAUUUUUAUGGCAUAGUGUUUAGCAUUUUGUUAAUUGCCAGGAUUGAAUUUAACUGUUUAAACACUUAUGUGUGCAUUUAUUUUUCCAUUAUCUUAUAACUACAUUCCACAUCUGUUUAUGUAUAUAAUAUAUAUUAUUCCAUCAGUAAUUUGUUUUCAGUGAUCGUUUAUGAUUUUACAUUCCUUGAAAUGAAAUAAUUACUGCUUCAUUUUGUGAUUUCUAGUCAAUACCACUGAUCACAUGAUAGAAAUGUCAUGACAUCGUGUAACUGCUGACCAGCAACAACCAAAAUUUGACCUGUAAUCUGUCCGUUGUUACAAAUACAUGACUCAAUGGUUUACUGCCGUCCAAAAAAAAACCUUAUAAAAAAAACUAUAUAACCUAUAACCGGUGAGACAUAAAAUCUGCCCAUGCAGGAAGAUAGAUGGGCUUUGGAUACUAAAAAAGCCAAUCGAAAUUAAUUAACAUUGUUCGAGUAAUGUGAGCACUUCAGAACUAUAGUUUACAUUAAAAUGUGACGAAGAUUUCAGAAAUUCCUAGCCUUGUUUUAAGUUGUUUCUUGUGUUAGAACUAUUCUUUUUCCAUUACGAUGCCCUAUAUAUUAUCUUCUUCUGUGGCAGAAUUAAUGUUUAUCAUACUCUUUGCAUUUUGUGUUUGAGAUUAUUGUAUUUCCCGCAACCCAAUGGCAGCUUUUUCAGUUAAAAACUAAAAUGUACAUUUGUUAUUUAGAUGCAUUGACAACACCAUAUACAUGUUGUUUUGCAGGUUUAAAAGUAUUUCAAAAUGCACAUACACCUUUGUGGUAUUCAGUUUUUCAUAAUCAGUGCUAUAACCAAUAAUUGUUAAAUGUGCGUUCUCAUAAUUAUUAUGUGAUUAGUCGGACAGACUUAUCGCAUAUGAUUGAAUCGUAUUGUGAGAACACCUAAAUCAGAAUUACUUUAUAGUCUUAUAUGUUCCAGUUUUUGUAGGGCUGACAAAUCGGUGCGUCUAAACGCAUAACGAGAACACUGCUUAACAGAUUACAGACCAAAGCUGGGGCUGGGUCUGGGUCUGGGCCUGGAGAGUGUGGCAAAGACAUGGAAUGUCUGAUGUAUUUUACUGUCUGGGUCUGUAAUUGUUAUGUGUUAUCAAUGUAAUUGACUGCCUUCAUGUCUUUGGAUAUAUUUUCUCCUAUAAACUUCAACAAUAAUUGCGAUAAUUCCACAUUGCUUGCUAUAUAUCUUUCCUGUUGUUUAUUAUUAAAAUGAAAAAGUAAGGCUCGAACAUUGUGCACAGCUGCCAGUCUGGCAGUGUGAAAAUAUAGCGCAUGUUCUAGGACGUCUAUUGCCAGAUCUGUAGUUAGCGCCAGCACAGACAAGUUGUAUUUUGUCACAUUCAAUUCAAUACAUAUCAUUUUGGACUGGUACCAUACUCACCAGACCCAGAUCUUUGGGCCUAAGUCGACCAGUCAUAUCAUGUGACUAGUACUAGUAGGAAUAUGUCAAGUUUCAGGGGACAUAACCCAUUUUAAAUUGUUGAGAACGGCCAUGAGGUGGCGUGAGAAAAUGCUCACAUUUCUGUCUGCGAUGAAAGGUCACAUAAUAUAUUGAUCGAUUUAAUGAUAGUCUAUUUCUCAAUUCGUAUUCAGAAUUUGGAGAUUGUUGGAAGACUUGCUCCAAGAACCUAAGGUGUUGGGAAAUCUUCAUUUCUAAGCUACCCGAUCAGGGUCACAAAUUUUGGUACAUGCAUAAUGUAAACUAUACUGUGCAUAAUAGUAGUUAUUGUUUCCAAUAUGGAAGCUUUCUAAUGGAAUACAAAGACAUUUGAUAAAAUGUGUGGUUGUGAUGUGGUUUUUGAGUGCCUUUGGUCUCCGUCUGUUAUAUCACACCUGAAAGUCCAUUCCACAAUGUGUAAAGUAACACUUGAGAUUACCAGGACCUGUGCUUAUAAAACUUUUUAGAGUCCAGACUCGAGACUCUUAACAGAUUCUGAGACAGUAAUGUCAUGACAACGCCAUUCAAAUUGUAUGCAUGUGACAUCAUUAGGGAUCGAGUCUAGACCCUAAACGUUUUAUUGUAAGUACGGGCUCAGGUGUGCACUAUUUGUAAUUGCCAUCCACAAACUUUCUGUUUUUUUUGUCUCGCCUUUAUGAAAUGUUAUGGUAGGUGAAACAUUUAAUUACACAGAAUUUUUGUAUUUGUUGACUAGUAAAAUAAAAAACUACAGUUAAAAAUAAAGAAUGCAAUUUUGGCGAGGAAUAUAUUGGUGAGAGAAGAAACCACAGCUGUUACAUAAGCUACUCUUUUUCUGUUUCUGUUUAUAUUGGAAGCAAGUGAACUUUUACAUACUAUACUACAUUUAGAAGUACAAUUUUGGUGGCGCAGAUUUCUGCUGCAAGAAAAGGUCUUCUGAUAAAUUUUAAUUUUUGAAUUUGAUUAUAAUCUAACAAUGGCCACUCUCUUGAAUGGAAUCGAUGCAAGAAAAGGUCUCGUAAUAAAUUUUAAUUUUUGAAUUUGAUUAUAAUCUAACAAUGGCCACUCUCUUGAAUGGAGUUGAUGAACGAAUAAGCUGCUGAAGUAGCUGUAUGUAAUGGCACCAGUUUCCUCUCUCACUACCUAGAGCAACAUAUGAAAUAGUGGUAGUUUAAAAUGUGCUGAGAUGUCACCAAGUACUGCUUCUCGUUACAGUAGCUGGUGCUAGUGUAUGAUCCUAAUACCUGCCGAGCCAUCAAGGUCUGCAAUAUGAGCUAGUCAUGGAUGCAAUUUGUUUUUUAAUAAUCAAAAUUGUUUUGCCCAGCAGUUUUUAUGUUUUGUCUUUUGGACGUCAUCAAUAGGCUGGUGUUUUGUUGUUGGUCUGUCUUGGGACUUUUUGUUAACACCUAGAUUUUAUUUUUAAUGUACAUGUAAUUAAAUAAUUGUAUUAUUCUCAGUUUUUAAUUUAAGACUGCAGAAGCUGGAUUAACUUGUAAUGAUGUGACAAGUAGGUUAAUUAUGGAGGCAAGUUUUCAGAGAUCUUGUAUACUGUAUAACAUGUUACUAUUACCGUAUGUGAUCAUGAUAAAAUACUGAAAUUUUAUUUUUAUCAGUAUGACAAAAUGUCUAGAUUUUUUUUUUCUACAUGAAAAUAAUAUAUUAAAGUGAAAAUAAUCAUGUUUAAAAAUAACCGAUUGAUUCUUUGAUAAAAAAUUUAAUAUACUACUCAAAGUUUGCUAAGGAUCAUGAAUUCAGGAUUGUGUUCAACAUUAAUAAAGUAAUAUGGCACAAUACACCCCUGAAAACAUUUUAUUUUUAAAAGAUCAGUACUACAGUGGGGAACAAUGGAAUAUUUGUGAUUGAUGUACUGCUAGCCUCUUGCCACAUUAACAGCUGACAUUGUCAUCUCAAGCUCCUAAUCAGUUGAAAGUCUGUAGAAGAUCUUUCUAUUCCUCCAAAUGUUUGACACGUAGUUUGUGCAGAGUCUGUGGCUGGACCUGGAGAUGUGAAAUGGCUACCUUGUAGUAUGUUCCACACACAUUCAAUUGGAUCGAGCUGGCCACUGCAUUUGCACUGUGGUUUCCUGUUGAUGACGGUCAUUAAAUGAGGAUGAAACCACGAUUUAAAGCACCUGCAUAUGGUGGAACACAAGGAUCCAUUAUUUCAUCCCUGUAACGGACAUAUGUCAUUGUUUUCCUGAUCAUGACACAGAGAUUGGCUUGGCCAACCCAUCUAAUCCUUGCCCAGACAUUUACCGAGCCACCAUCAUAGCGGUCAUGUUCCUCAGUAUAACUAUAAGCAUCAUCUUAUCAUUUACCAAUCCUUUUGCCAGACUAGAAAGAUGAUCAGAAAAGCCUAAGCAAUAGAUUAACAAUAGCCUAAGAUUAAAAUCCUAACUUUUUCCAUGAUCAAAAAGAUCUACAAUCCCUAGCAAACUUUGAGUAGUGUAUAGCAGGUAAUUAGUUUUUGUGCACUUGCCUUUGACAGUGGUGUGUCCAAGACUGAGAGUACAUUAUUGAGGAAUUGUUUUUGUUUUUUUAAAAGUACAUGUAUACAAUAUUGAACUGUAAUCGUGUAUAAUCAUUCUGUUGUAGUUGCUCAGCCAUAAGACUGAGAUAUAUGUGUUUUAAUUCUGAAUGUAAAUGUAGCUGGAGCAAUAAAUAUUAUAUACCUAU